GAAGCUCUGGGAGAUUCAGCUUCCCCUUGCGACUGUGUGCAGACAUAAUAGCGUCCACAGUGAAAGACGAGCACCACAAGACAGAAGUGAAAAAUCAGCACCUUCCUGUUCACCUUGUGAAGCCAUCGCUCAACCAAAUAGAAAGAGCAUGUAGAGAGAAACUUCUAUCACCUACGUCAACUAACAGCACGACAGCCACAAAGAAAAUGAGUCGUCAUCAAGACCAGCAGCUGACAUCACUGUGGAGAAGGAAGGACACAGACGUUGUUGUUGCUGAGCUCCCUCCAUGUAAGAGGGAACAUUUCUGUGAUCCGCCAUAGCGAGCUGCGCUCACUGCGACCUCACCAGUGGCUAACAGGCCCAAACAAAGACACAGUUAUUGAGCCUCUUUCAGCUUUCUGCCAACCAGUCCAGCGUUGGAAAGAACAUUUCCAUCCUUCAUCAUUACACAGCAGGUGGAAAACUUUGUGGGAAACGCGCUGAGCUCAGUGGACACGGCCUCUCCAAGAUCAGCUGUGACGACUACCAGGCCAUUCUGUCCUUUGUAAACACUGACAGAGCCACUGGAAGCUGCUGCUCACUGAUACUUUCUGCAAACAUCACUUUAUAUUAACUCUGUUUAUACGAUUUAUAAAGUUGUUCUGAGUCUUAUUAUGUGCUUUAUAAAAGCUUUUUUCUAGUAUAUAUUUCCUGCCAUAAGAUGAGUGUUUUUGGUGGAUCCAGCAUCUGAUUCAUCUGAGGAGGCAGCAAAAAGAGUCGACACAUUAGAUAUCACGUCUCAGUAAAAAUGAUGAUUGA
This is a long non-coding RNA of Melanotaenia boesemani (Boeseman's rainbowfish), 798 nucleotides long. RefSeq lists it as uncharacterized. The record is from RefSeq and is a predicted model, not a curated record. The transcript is spliced from 4 exons. Lineage: Eukaryota; Metazoa; Chordata; Actinopteri; Atheriniformes; Melanotaeniidae.